UCGGACUGCUGGACACGCUGGAGAGAUCCUGAGGGACAGACGGACACCGGGAUCAGCCGGGGGAUUUGGGGAAAAAUCUGGGAAUUCUGGGAUUUGGGAAAAAAAUCUGGGAAUUCUGGGAUUUGGGAAGUUUGGGAAUGAAAAUCUGAUAAUUCUGGGAUUUUUAUUGGGAAAGGAAAUCUGAUAAUUCUGGGAUUUCUAGGAUUUAGGAAUGAAAAUCUGAUCAUUCUGGAGAUGCUGGAGAGAUCCUGAGGGACAGACGGACACCGGGAUCAGUCUGGGAAUUUGGGAUUUGGGGAAAAAAUCUGGGAAUUUUGGGAUUUGGGGAAAAAAAUCUGGGAAUUUGGGGAAGAAAAUCUGAUAAUUCUGGGAUUUGUGAGGUUGGAAAAGGAAAUCUGAUCAUUCUGGAGAUGCUGGAGAGAUCCUGAGGGACAGACGGACACCGGGAUCAGCCGGGGGAUUGGGGAAAAAAUCUGGGAAUUUUCCAAAGCUCCCAUCCCAAAAAUCCAUUUCUGGAGAUUUUUUGGCCAUUUUCGCCCAUUUUCAGACAUUUUUUGACCAUUUUUGUCCAUUUUUAGGCAUUUUUUGUCAAUUUUAGGCCAUUUUUAGUCAAUUUUAGGCCAUUUUUAGCCAUUUUUUGUCCAUUUUCACCCAUUUUUGUCCAUUUUUGUCCAUUUUUAGCCAUUUCUCGACCAUUUUUUCUCCAUUUUCACCCAUUUUUGUCCAUUUUUGUCCAUUUUCACCCAUUUUUGUCCAUUUUUAGCCAUUUCUCCACCAUUUUUCUCCAUUUCCACCCAUUUUUCUCCAUUUUCCUCCAUUUCCACCCAUUUUUCUCCAUUUUUCCUCCAUUUCCACCCAUUUUUGUCCAUUUUUCGACCAUUUCCACCCAUUUUUCUCCAUUUUUCCUCCAUUUCCACCCAUUUUUCUCCAUUUUCCUCCAUUUCCACCCAUUUUUUCUCCAUUUUCACCCAUUUUCAGCCAUUUCUCAACCAUUUUUUCUCCAUUUUCACCCAUUUUUGUCCAUUUUUCUCCAUUUUCACCCAUUUUCAGCCAUUUCUCAACCAUUUUUUGUCCAUUUUUCUCCAUUUUCCUCCAUUUCCACCCAUUUUUCUCCAUUUUUCCUCCAUUUCCACCCAUUUUUCUCCAUUUUUCCUCCAUUUCCACCCAUUUUUGUCCAUUUUUCCUCCAUUUCCACCCAUUUUUCUCCAUUUUCACCCAUUUUUGUCCAUUUUUGUCCAUUUUUGUCCAUUUUUAGACCAUUUUUCUCCAUUUUUCUCCAUUUUUGUCCAUUUUUUCUCCAUUUUCACCCAUUUUCAGCCAUUUCUCAACCAUUUUUUGUCCAUUUUUCUCCAUUUUUUCUCCAUUUCCACCCAUUUUUGUCCAUUUUUUCUCCAUUUUCACCCAUUUUUGUCCAUUUUUGUCCAUUUUUAGCCAUUUCUCCACCAUUUUUCUCCAUUUCCACCCAUUUUUCUCCAUUUUCCUCCAUUUCCACCCAUUUUUGUCCAUUUUUCCUCCAUUUCCACCCAUUUUUGUCCAUUUUUUCUCCAUUUUCACCCAUUUUUGUCCAUUUUUCUCCAUUUUCACCCAUUUUCAGCCAUUUCUCAACCAUUUUUUGUCCAUUUUUCUCCAUUUUCCUCCAUUUCCACCCAUUUUUCUCCAUUUUUCCUCCAUUUCCACCCAUUUUUCUCCAUUUUUCCUCCAUUUCCACCCAUUUUUGUCCAUUUUUCCUCCAUUUCCACCCAUUUUUCUCCAUUUUCACCCAUUUUUGUCCAUUUUUGUCCAUUUUUGUCCAUUUUUAGACCAUUUUUCUCCAUUUUUCUCCAUUUUUGUCCAUUUUUUCUCCAUUUUCACCCAUUUUCAGCCAUUUCUCAACCAUUUUUUGUCCAUUUUUCUCCAUUUUUUCUCCAUUUCCACCCAUUUUUGUCCAUUUUUAGCCAUUUCUCCACCAUUUUUCUCCAUUUCCACCCAUUUUUGUCCAUUUUUCCUCCAUUUUCACCCAUUUUUGUCCAUUUUUUCUCCAUUUUCACCCAUUUUUGUCCAUUUUCACCCAUUUUUGUCCAUUUUUUCUCCAUUUCCACCCAUUUUUGUCCAUUUUUUCUCCAUUUUCACCCAUUUUCAGCCAUUUCUCAACCAUUUUUCUCCAUUUUUCUCCAUUUCCCCCCAUUCCCCCCAC
Molecule: long non-coding RNA, 2173 nt
Filed under: Cyanistes caeruleus (blue tit)
Lineage: Eukaryota; Metazoa; Chordata; Aves; Passeriformes; Paridae
Description: lncRNA (ENSCCEG00000006750.1)
Source: RNAcentral